UGAUAUGAUUUCUUUUUUCUUUUUUUUUCUUUUUUUUAGGAAUCGGAGAGUGGUGGGAACAUCCGACUACUCACCCAAAAAUUUAUUCAGAGCAAUAUGAAAGGAUUUACAAGAGUUUGAAAUUUAAGUGGAGUUCCAACUCUUUCAUCCAAGAAGGAGAUAAAGGGAAGAGGUAGCACAAAAUCAAGAAAAAAUUAAACAACAUGGAAAGCAUCUUCUCACAUCAAAGACUUAAAAGAGUAUAUGCAAAGGUCUUCUUCACAACCAACUUUUUUGUUCCUUCGCACUUGUUUGCGGAAAAUACGCCCACGUUCCAAAAUUGAAAUAGCAAGUGCAACACUUUCAUGGAUCUAUCAGCCUCCAGGUGGUUUCUGGAGGAGGUGAAGGUCGCUCUUCAGGGGGGAUAUGGUGCCUCACCGGGUUUCCGGAUGGAGAUGGUGGGCCAUAUCCGACCCUUCCACCUAACAUCCUUCCCUUCGUCUCUGCAAAACAACAGGGCAGAAGCACACCAAAGUAAAUAUGAAUUCCACAACAGCAGCAACACCUAAUGAUUAUCAAAAGGCUUCGAAGCUACCCUCGUAUAUGCCCAUAAUAUAAGCAAGCCUUCAGAAAAUAUUACCAUUUCCAUGGACGAAAUGAAGCUCGACGGAGAGAAAGGCAGAGACUAUAGCUAUGAGGAAGAGGAUUCGGAUGAAAGGCGCGAGUUUCAUCUUUUCCUCCCCGUAGUGGCUCAGAAAUAUGGGGGACUCUGUCACUUAGAGUCCUUUAUUGGAGCAGAUCAACACAUGGUCAGAUUCUGAUGAAACAAGAACUGAAAUAUAUGGAAACUUCGCCACCAAG
This 840-nucleotide long non-coding RNA is filed under the name Elaeis guineensis (African oil palm). RNAcentral's name for it is "long non-coding RNA (EGUI_LNC038130)". Lineage: Eukaryota; Viridiplantae; Streptophyta; Magnoliopsida; Arecales; Arecaceae. The record is from RNAcentral.